AGACACAUAAAUUUAGGACAGACAAACUCUGACACACACACAAGCUUACUACAGACAAGCUCACUGUCACACACACACGCUCACUACAGACAAGCUCACUGAUGCGCACACACUCUCCCUACAGACAAGCCCAUUGACACACACAUGCUCCCUACAGAAGAGCUCACUAACACAGAUUCAUUACAGACAAGCUCACUGACACACACAUGCUCACUACAGACAAGCUCACUGACACACACGCUCACUACAGACAAGCUCACUGACACACACGCUCACUACAGACAAGCUCACUGACACAUAUGGUCACUACAGACAAGCUCACUGACACACACGCUCACUACAG
This is a non-coding RNA of Pelobates cultripes (western spadefoot toad), 343 nucleotides long. NCBI's taxonomy places the organism in Eukaryota, Metazoa, Chordata, Amphibia, Anura, Pelobatidae. The record is from the annotation of a GenBank genome assembly.